CAUCAAUGGAUGCUGAAAUUAGUGACGGAAAGUACGACGAGAAACAAGACAUUUGCAGGGCUCAACCCAACCCCCCCCCAGAUACUUAUGAAAAAUAAAUAGAAACCUAGCAGACGCUGCUCCAGCCAGGCAGUCGAGGCCUGGGUCACAGCCAUGACGGUGGCGACAUUCUGCCCCUCUGGAGCCGACGCCCGGGACGGGCGCAGGGUCCCUCCGGGGAUUCUUGUAAAGAUGCCGAGCUACGACUCUGAGCGGGAGGAACACGCGGAUGUCCACACCCAGGGACGUGCUAUGAAACAACUGGCCAGUCCUCUUCCAAAGGGGCCAGGUCACGACAAGAAAGACUGAGGAGCCGGCCCAGAGUUAGGAGGUGAAGGGGUCCCAAAGCCCGAAUGCCACGUGAGGUCCUGGCGGGAUUCUGGAACAGGAAAGGGCGUCACUGGGAUGACAGGUCCUCAUGACUUCGUCUGCUCGAGUCAGGAGCCGCUCCCAGGGUGGUGUUGGAAAGCAGGGUCCCUCGGCAGAUGGUGGCCCCCCGGGCCGGCCUCCGGUCCUUCCGAGGCCUUGUCCUUCCUUCACCGUGAGACCGGGUCCUGGAGUUGGUCUUUUCUUCAAAUUCUACUGCCGUCACUCUGCUGUGCCUUGAUCGAGCCCUUGGGACACCGAGGAGUCUCCUUAUCCGUCUUCCUCCAGGGACCCCACAGGAAGGGGCCAAGCCCGCCAGGGACAGUCCCACCUGCCAGCCCGUGAGGCUGCAGGCUGAGAGGGAGACGGCUUCUGUCACCACCCUGCCGGGCAACAGGGGCAGGUGGGACAGGAAUAGAGGA
Molecule: long non-coding RNA, 827 nt
Filed under: Equus caballus (horse)
Lineage: Eukaryota; Metazoa; Chordata; Mammalia; Perissodactyla; Equidae
Description: lncRNA (ENSECAG00000055678.1)
Source: RNAcentral